Molecule: ribosomal RNA, 562 nt
Filed under: uncultured bacterium gp10
Lineage: Bacteria
Description: bacterial SSU rRNA
Rfam family: Bacterial small subunit ribosomal RNA
Source: RNAcentral
GAGAGCGGCGGACGGGUGAGUAACACGUGGGUAAUCUGCCUAGGAGUGGGGAAUAACCUGGGGAAACUCGGGCUAAUACCGCAUACGUCGUCGGGACUGCGGUCCCGGCAAGAAAGCUGGCCUCUGCUUGCAUGCUAGCGCUCCUAGAGGAGCCCGCGGCUGAUUAGCUAGUUGGUGAGGUAAUGGCUCACCAAGGCGACGAUCAGUAGCCGGCCUGAGAGGGUGAACGGCCACACUGGGACUGAGACACGGCCCAGACUCCUACGGGAGGCAGCAGUGGGGAAUAUUGGACAAUGGGCGAAAGCCUGAUCCAGCAACGCCGCGUGGAGGACGAAGGUCUUCGGAUCGUAAACUCCUGUCAGAUGGGACGAAGGGACGUCGGUAAAUAAUCGACGUCUUUGACGGUACCGUCAGAGGAAGCCCCGGCUAACUCCGUGCCAGCAGCCGCGGUAAUACGGAGGGGGCGAGCGUUAUUCGGAAUUAUUGGGCGUAAAGGGCGCGUAGGUGGCCCUGUAAGUCAAAGGUGAAAUCCCUCGGCUCAACCGAGGAAUUGCCCUUGAAA